GAUGAACGCUGGCGGCGUGCCUAACACAUGCCAGUCGAACGAAGCUUGACGGAUGAUUUCUUCGGAAUGAUACCAGCUAUGACGUAGGGGCGGACGGGUGAGUAAAACGUUAGCAACCUGCCUUCCUGAGGGGGAUAACGGCUGUAAACGGUAGCUAAUACAGCAUCAUGUGUUCGUAGUGCAUCAUCUGAAUGUUGACGAUUAAUGGUUGAUAGAUGGGGUAGCGUCUGAUUAGAUAGGUGGUGGGGUAACGGCCUACCAAGGCUACGUGCAGUAGCCCGCCUGAGCGGAUGAACGGCCACAUUUGGAAUGGGAGACAGCCGAGACUACUACGGGAGGCAGCAGUGGGGCAUAUUGCACAAUGGCCGAAAGCCUGAUGCAGCUACUCCGAUUGAAGGAUGCCGGUUUUCGGAAUGAAAAAUUCUUUACGUAGUGACGCAGAUAGUGACGGUAGCUAAGCAAUAAGCAACGGCUAACUACGUG
Molecule: ribosomal RNA, 483 nt
Filed under: uncultured bacterium
Lineage: Bacteria
Description: partial 16S ribosomal RNA
Rfam family: Bacterial small subunit ribosomal RNA
Source: RNAcentral